This 166-nucleotide microRNA precursor is filed under the name Oryza brachyantha (malo sina). RNAcentral's name for it is "MIR812 microRNA precursor family". It matches the Rfam family "MIR812 microRNA precursor family", at positions 27 to 192 of the family's 205-position model. The record is from Rfam by way of RNAcentral. Lineage: Eukaryota; Viridiplantae; Streptophyta; Magnoliopsida; Poales; Poaceae.
UACAAUGUUGAUUCUUUGUCUUAUUUAAAUUUUUUUGGAAUUAAUAUUUUUAUUUUCAUUAGAUUAUAAAACAUGAAUAGUAUUUUACGCGUGACUAAUUUUUUAAGUUUUUUUAAUAAUUUUUUUAAAUAAAACGGAUGGUCAGACGAUAGACGUAGAAACCAAU